UAUAUAGGUGUGACUAAAAGUACUAUUAUAAAAAUUAACAACUCUGAUCUCUGGUGACCUCAACCCACAGGGCAUGAUCCCACAAUCUUUAACUUCUAUUUUUUUUUUUUUUGUAGAGACAGAGUCUCACUGUACCGCCCUCGGGUAGAGUGCCAUGACGUCACACGGCUCACAGCAACCUCUAACUCUUGGGCUUAUGCGAUUCUCUUGCCUCAGCCUUCCAAGCAGCUGGGACUACAGGCGUCCGCCACAACGCCCGGCUAUUUUUUUGUUCCAGUUUGGGCGGGGCUAGGUUUGAACUCACCACCCUCGGCAUAUGGGGCCAGCGCCCUACUCACUGAGCCACAGGCGCCGCCCUUUAACUUCUAUGUUGAGGAGCUCAAAGCUAAAGUAAAACUGGCAUUACUAUGAGUGAUAAAAAAUGUCCAAUGAACACAGCUCUGGCCUUCUACCUUUGGUCCUAUUUUCUGCCUGGAACUCUCUUCCCCCAGUUAUCUGCAUGGCUUGUACCUUUAUUUCCUUUAAGUCUCUCUGCUCAGGGGGAAGGAUGGGUGGAGGGAGGGUGUAUUGGUGGGAGACCAAACCUACAGUGCAUCUUACAAGGGUACAUGUGAAACUUACUAAAUGUAGAAUGUAAAUGUCUCAACAUAAUAACUAAGAAAAUGAGGCGAGGCCCAGCUCCCUGAAAGAAGAGUAACCUACCCCUGUGGUUCAUCACCAUGCCCUCUGACCUGACCAAGAAGAAGGCAACCAAAAAGAAGGAAGCUGCCAAAGCUCGACAGCGGCCCAGAAAGGGACAUGAAGAAAACGGGGAUAUGGUAACAGAACCACAGGUGGCAGAGGAGAAAAAUGAGGCCAAUGGCAGAGAGACCACAGAAGUGGAUCUGCUGACCAAGGAGCUAGAGGACUUUGAGAUGAAGAAAGCUGCUGCUCGAGCUGUCACUGAUGUCCUUGCCUCUCACCCCAACAGUACUGAUGUCUACAUUAUCAACCUCUCACUUACCUUUCAUGGUCAAGACCUGCUUAGUGACACCAAACUGGAAUUAAACUCAGGCCUCACAUAUCAGGCCUUAUAUUGCACACAUAAGGCCUCAUUGGCUUAAAUGGAAUUGACAAGUCCAUGCUGCUGUCUGCUAUUGGGAAAUGUGAAGUACCCACCCCUGAGCACAUUGACAUCUACCAUCUGACUCGAGAGAUGCCCCCUAGUGACAAGACUCCCUUGCAGUGUGUGAUGGAAGUUGACACAGAGCAGGCUAUGCUGGAGAGGGAGGCUGAGUGGCUGGCUCAUGAGGAUGCUGAGUGCGAGAAGCUCAUGGAGCUCUAUGAGCGCCUGGAGGAACUGGAUGCCACGGCAGAGAUGAGGGCUUCACGGAUCUUAUAUGGACUGGGUUUCACACCUGCCAUGCAGCGCAAGAAAUUAAAAGACUUCAGUGGGGGCUGGAGGAUGAGAGUUGCCCUUGCCAGAGCCUUCUUUAUUCGGCCCUUCAUGCUGCUCCUGGAUGAGCCCACGAAUCACCUGGACCUAGAUGCUUGUGUGUGGUUGGAAGAAGAACUAAAAACUUUUAAGCGCAUCCUGGUCCUCGUCUCCCAUUCCCAGGAUUUUCUGAAUGGUGUCUGUACCAACAUCAUUCACAGGCACAACAAGAAACUGAAGUAUUAUAUGGGUAAUUACGAUCAGCAUGUGAAGACACGGCUGGAGCUGGAGGAGAAUCACUGAGAGCAAGAUCAGAUUGCACACAUGAAGAACUACAUUGCUAGGUUUGGUCAUGGCAGUGCCACGCUGGCCCGGCAGGCCCAGAGCAAGAAGACAUUAUAGAAAACGAUGGCAUCAGGCCUGACAGAGAGGGUCGUGAGCGACAAGACACUGUCAUUUUAUUUCCCACCAUGUGGUAAGAUCCCUCCACUGUCAUUAGGGUGCAAAAUGUGAUUUUCAAGUAUACAAAGGAUGGGCCUUGUAUCUACAAUAAUCUGGAAUUUGGUAUUGACCUUGACACAUGAGUGGCUCUGGUAGGGCCCAAUGGAGCAGGAAAGUCAACUCUUCUGAAGCUGCUAACUGGAGAGCUACUAACCACAGAUGGAAUGAUCCGAAACACUCUCAUGUCAAAAUAUGGUGUUACCAUCAACAUUUACAAGAGCAGCUGGACUCAGACCUCUCCCCUUUGGAGUACAUAAUGAAGUGCUACCCAGAGAUCAAGGAGAAGGAAUAAAUGAGAAAGAUCAUUGGACGAUAUGGUCUCAAUGGAAAACAGUAGGUGAGCCCAAUUCGGAACCUGUCAGAUGGGCAGAAGUGCCAAGUGUGUCUGGCCUGGCUGGUCUGGCAGAACCAGGAUCUGGCUUUUCCUGGAUGAGCCGACCAAUCACCCGGAUAUUGAGACCAUUGACGCACUGGCAGAUGCUAUCAAUGAGUUUGAGGGUGGUAUGAUGCUGGUCAGCCAUGACUUCAGACUCAUUCAGCAGGUUGCACAGGAAAUUUGGGUCUGUGAGAAGCAGACAAUCACCAAGUGGCCUGGAGACAUCCUGGCCUACAAGGAGCACCUCAAGUCCAUGCUGGUGGAUGAGGAGCCCCAGCUCACCAAGAGGACCCACAAUGUGUGAGUCCUCUGCCCCAGCUCAGGUCAGGAGCUUCAUCUGGGACGAACAGCUGUCACCCUGACCAGCUGCUCAGGACAGAACCCUGGGGCUACACUCCAGCACCGCUGCAGUACUACUCCCCCAGCCUCUCCCCGACCCCUCAACCUGCCUUGGCUGCACUCUGUUAUCAUAUCUACAGCUGGACAGUACCUGUCCGUUUCCUAUCCUCCUUCCAGUUACAUUUGUCCGUGUCUGGACUCGGCUGGCUGUUCCCUCCAGCCCCUUGCUGGUUACCUGACCCUGAGUGUGAUGCAGCCAGAGGCACCUAAGGGUUAGCCCAAGGACCCAUGCCCUGGAUUUGGCCCUUGAAGGAGCUCAGGAUCCUCGUUUUCUGGCUUUUGGUGAUGUUAGAGGGCUACUGCCCCUAUUCCUUUUGCUUCUGGUUUGGAGCUCUGGACCAGGGCCUCAGA
This is an RNA transcript of Nycticebus coucang (slow loris), 3041 nucleotides long. It is a transcript of the gene named ATP-binding cassette sub-family F member 2-like, with no coding region annotated. The transcript has a single exon. Lineage: Eukaryota; Metazoa; Chordata; Mammalia; Primates; Lorisidae. The record is from RefSeq and is a predicted model, not a curated record.